AGCUGCGCGUUGAGCACAUAGCGAACUAUUCUUUCGCCUUUUACUAAAGAAUACCGUGUGCUCGUUGCCUAUAAGCGUGGCAUACGCAAUUUUUUGGAGGGUGUUUUAUUUAUAAUAAAAC
This is a small nuclear RNA of Salvia splendens (bonfire salvia), 121 nucleotides long. RefSeq annotates it as U5 spliceosomal RNA. Lineage: Eukaryota; Viridiplantae; Streptophyta; Magnoliopsida; Lamiales; Lamiaceae. The record is from RefSeq and is a predicted model, not a curated record. The transcript has a single exon.